AGAGUUUGAUCCUGGCUCAGGAUGAACGCUAGCGACAGGCUUAACACAUGCAAGUUGAGGGGCAGCAAUUUGUAGCAAUACAAAGUUGGCGACCGGCGCACGGGUGAGUAACGCGUAUGCAACCUACCCACAACAGAAGAAUAAUCCGGCGAAAGUCGGUCUAAUACUUCAUAAAACAGGGACACCGCAUGGUGUUAUUUGUUAAAGAUUUAUCGGUUGUGGAUGGGCAUGCGUACCAUUAGGUAGUUGGUGAGGUAACGGCCCACCAAGCCUACGAUGGUUAGGGGUUCUGAGAGGAAAGUCCCCCACACUGGUACUGAGACACGGACCAGACUCCUACGGGAGGCAGCAGUGAGGAAUAUUGGUCAAUGGGCGAGAGCCUGAACCAGCCAAGUCGCGUGAAGGAUGACGGCCCUAUGGGUUGUAAACUUCUUUUGCAGGGGAAUAAAGAUAUUCACGUGUGGGUAGUUGUAUGUACCCUGCGAAUAAGCAUCGGCUAACUCCGUGCCAGCAGCCGCGGUAAUACGGAGGAUGCGAGCGUUAUCCGGAUUUAUUGGGUUUAAAGGGUGCGUAGGUGGGCUAUUAAGUCAGUGGUGAAAGUUUGUCGCUCAACGAUAAAAUUGCCGUUGAAACUGGUGGUCUUGAGUAUGGAUGAAGUAGGCGGAAUGCGUGGUGUAGCGGUGAAAUGCAUAGAGAUCACGCAGAACUCCGAUUGCGAAGGCAGCUUACUAAGGCAUAACUGACACUGAAGCACGAAAGCGUGGGUAUCAAACAGGAUUAGAUACCCUGGUAGUCCACGCAGUAAACGAUGAUUACUAGGAGUUUGCGAUAUAGUGUAAGCUCUACAGCGAAAGCGUUAAGUAAUCCACCUGGGGAGUACGCCGGCAACGGUGAAACUCAAAGGAAUUGACGGGGGCCC
This 919-nucleotide ribosomal RNA is filed under the name uncultured Tannerella sp. Its description in RNAcentral is "bacterial SSU rRNA". It matches the Rfam family "Bacterial small subunit ribosomal RNA", at positions 8 to 922 of the family's 1533-position model. The record is from RNAcentral. Lineage: Bacteria; Pseudomonadati; Bacteroidota; Bacteroidia; Bacteroidales; Tannerellaceae.